GUGAGCGGAAAGACAGCCAACGCAAACUAUGUUUAAUUAACAUAGUUGGUGAGGAAGCUUCGCCCUCCGAACUUUUGAAGAAAAAAUCUUCAAAAGAUCCAUGCGGGUAACUGCACAGCGGAAACGCUGAGCUCUGACACAGAAAAAAACUGCUUAUAGAGUUUAAUGAUGAGUUCGUAAGAAUGAAGUUUCUAUAAGCAGGUGAAAAGUCAACUUGGAUGGAGCAAGCUGUCAUCAGCGCUUAGUCAAAUGCUGUCAUGUCUUUUGAUGAUUUCCUUUAAAAGGAAGGAAAGACAACUAAAGGCGAGCUAUUUCCACUCAC
RNAcentral lists this RNase P RNA (322 nucleotides) under Candidatus Woesearchaeota archaeon. Its description in RNAcentral is "RNase P RNA component". It matches the Rfam family "Archaeal RNase P". Rfam says of the family: Ribonuclease P (RNase P) is a ubiquitous endoribonuclease, found in archaea, bacteria and eukarya as well as chloroplasts and mitochondria. Its best characterised activity is the generation of mature 5'-ends of tRNAs by cleaving the 5'-leader elements of precursor-tRNAs. Cellular RNase Ps are ribonucleoproteins. The record is from RNAcentral. Lineage: Archaea; Nanobdellati; Candidatus Woesearchaeota.